This 128-nucleotide small nuclear RNA is filed under the name Jaculus jaculus (lesser Egyptian jerboa). Its description in RNAcentral is "U4 spliceosomal RNA (ENSJJAG00000004298.1)". It matches the Rfam family "U4 spliceosomal RNA". From Rfam's summary of the family: U4 small nuclear RNA (U4 snRNA) is a component of the major U2-dependent spliceosome. Lineage: Eukaryota; Metazoa; Chordata; Mammalia; Rodentia; Dipodidae. The record is from RNAcentral.
AGCUUUGCACAGUGGCAGAAUCGUAGCCAGUAAGAUUUAUUUGAGGCACAAUUAUUGCUAAUUGAAAAUGUUUCCUAACGCCAUGACAACAUGAAAUAUAGUUGGCAUUGGCAAUUUUUUUUUGUCCA